GGACAAACUCCGAUAACUUUUCUCCGGCAUAUUUUUUGCCGAUCUACUGUCUAUUUCAAUUCUGCCAAAGUUAUUUUCAUGGAUAGCGAACACCGACGUUACUGUAUCAACUGAUAAUCUCAAGAUCAAAAAGCGUGAGAGUACCAUAUCUCAUACCCAACGAGGCUUUCUCAUACUUCAUUAGGAUCUUCUGCCUCUUCCUUCUUCCCCAAAGCCUUCAGGAAUGGAUAUGGAGUUGUCUUAAACAAAUUUUUACGCCAGGAAGUAAACCGCAAGUUGAAAAAAUUAACAACCACUGCACAUUGUCGAUCCUCACCCUAGUUGAGACGCACUUGAACUCUAAGUCCAAGAAAGUAUUGGAAGAUCCAGUAUUUGGUCUGAUCGUGAAGAUUCAUUGAAAUGGUAUCAGAUAGUCGGUGAGGCUGAUCCACAGCUUUAUGUGUAAAUAGCUCAUGACAAACAAGAAGCAUGAGCUGUGGUUCAUUUCUGGACAGAAACCUCUUUUAUUAUCCAUGCAAGAGUACUAUGCAGUUACUGGUUUCAACUUCUGGGAGACAAGGAACAACAAAAGGGAAACUGGAAGAAAGAUGGUGGUUUCUGGAGCAAUUUGUUAGAGAGUAAUGCAGGAAUAACCCUGAAGAUGAUAAUGGAUGUACACCUCAGGAAUGCUAACAAGUGGAGCCACGAUGAUAGGUUGAGAUUGGUUUAUUUGCAGGUUUGGUAAUGGCUCAGAGUGUUUAUAUUCAUAUCACGCGAAAGUAUAUUGUGUUUGUGAUGAUUUAGAGAGGCUGCGGAGAUACCCAUGGGGGCUUAAGUCAUUCAAAUUUUUGGUGGAUAACAUUUUGAAGAGUAGGGUGAGGCUGCAACAAGGGAAGUCAUAUACAUUAGAUGGUUUUUCACUGUCUUCAGAUCUGAAUAAUGGAAGCCAUUCCUGUUUUUGGAACAAUGUUGGGUAGAAGAGUCGAAAAUGAGCAUGUUCCCAUUCCUAGAUGCACUAACUGGAGUGGAGCUGCACUAGUGUCAUAUGCAGAGAUUUUCUAACUAGAAAUCACCUUUAAAUACGAACUUAGUACUGUCUUACUUACUUAAAAAAAAAAAAUUAUUGCUGGCUUUGCUUAUAUUUGUUCCAUCUCCAUAAAUGUCUAACUCCUUUUUUUUUUUGCUCCCAACUAAUUCUUACAGGAUGUCAUAUAUCCGUUCAUCUCUUGUACUUGGGAUUUUAACAUCAUUGAUUUGGCCAAUAUGUUAGGGAUGAUGAAAUGACUGAUGAGAGAGUAGAUUGCAUAAAGAACAUGGUCAGUCAGGGAAAGGAUUGGUCUAGCCAUGUUAGGGAAAUUGAGGGAGCUAUUAGCACAUCUUCAACUGCUCAUGAAGAAACAUCAAAGACCAAUGGUGUUAAUACAUGCGAAAAUGGUUUAAUUGAAGCUGAGACACCGAGUUGCGUAGCAGGUGAUGUAUCUGUUUCAAACCGCGGCAAAAAAAUGGCUGAUCAUGGUUCAGAUGCACGGAAAAAGAAGAUAUUGUGGAAACAAUCAGCAACGAAAGAAAGAGAUAUUGAUGAUGGUCUCAAUGCCUUUAUUUGAGAUUUGCUUCAGAGUACAAUCAAACCUUUGGAAGAGAAUAUCGAGAAUCUUCAUAAGAAAAU
Molecule: long non-coding RNA, 1645 nt
Organism: Eutrema salsugineum
Lineage: Eukaryota; Viridiplantae; Streptophyta; Magnoliopsida; Brassicales; Brassicaceae
Exons: 5
Source: RefSeq, a predicted model, not a curated record